Molecule: long non-coding RNA, 1846 nt
Organism: Mya arenaria
Lineage: Eukaryota; Metazoa; Mollusca; Bivalvia; Myida; Myidae
Exons: 5
Source: RefSeq, a predicted model, not a curated record
AUUCAUAGCAUAAAUAAUACAAAAUACACAUUUGAAAUAGGCCAACAUGACCCUUGAUCAAAUCAAAUUAAUACACCAAAUUGUGAUUGCGAACAGGUACAUAUAAAUGUAUAUUCAUUAAAUAACAAUUUUAUCUACAACUUACAAAUGAUACUAUUCAUAAUUCAUAAUCUAGUAAAUACAUAUGAUAAAUUAUUUAUAUAAUGGAAAUAAAUUUUGCUAAGCGAGCUAUCCUCGGAUUCAUUAUUACCUAUGCCCGGGUUUUACCGCAUACCGGAAAAGUACAAGCGUUAUCAAAAUAAUGCGUUACCACAUGUCUUGAGAAUUAUUGUAAAAUUGAAAUAAACUACAGUGUGUCAUUCAUAAAAAACUGUUGGAAAUAGUUGUUUGAGUGAUAUUUCAUAUUCCGAGGAUAACUAAAGGUGGAGAAAGUAAAAACUAAGUUGGAUAUAUUGAAUUUAUCUUAACGCAAGAGACAGGGUUUACAUGUAUAUACAUCAGUUUUGUCCAGUGUAAAGUCGGCGCAAUGAAGAUAUAGAUGCAUGUUUCACCUGUCUUAAAAAUAAGCCCAUAGCCUUCUGCGCUUGACCAGAGAGAGUCUUCUGACAUUCUACCCACGAUCCUCCUGAGGUCAAAACCACUCCGAGGUGUUGGUGAAUAGUUGGGUGUUCUCCGGCUCUCUCAUCUUAGAUUUACUCGAUGCAGUCCCAUCAUGAGAGAUGUUGUUCGAAUAUUUCCCAAAUAAUGGUUCACUGACAGACUCGAUGUAAGUGCAGAGUUGGUUGACACACAUGUCUAUCUCUUCACCUGACGUAGAUGCUUCAAUAUUAUAUACAAGGUCGACCUCCACCCUGGUUGGUAGACGUCGUAGCAGCCUGCGACGUUUUCCUUGGUGGCCGUGUACUGGAUGAGCGGACUCUCUGAGGGUUUCCAGUCGAAUGUGCUCGCGCACGCGUUCUACCACGUUGGGUCGAUUUACCAGCUGCUUUAGAACUAGCGUUACUCGCGGACUGUGUUGGCUGUGAGCUGCUAUUCGUGCCGGCGACUUGUUGAGGCUGUGAUAGUUGUGAGGCAUUACCCUGGGAGCGGGUACUACCAGCUUGUUUCCAGUCGAAGAAGACCGGCGGUGAUGGAUUCUGAGAUGGAGCGUUAAUAGUCGUUUGUGUAUUUGCCCGUGGAGCCGUAUUCGCUGACGAUUUCGGUCCGACGGGCUGGUCUGUAGACGCGUGCGUGUACACCGGUCUACUUAGCAAUCGGCUCCACCCCGGAAAUUCAUCUCUGACCACUUCACCAUUGACUACUACCGCCGCCGGAUACUUUAGCUGAACUCUAGCUGAACGAUUCUCCGCUCGCAGCCUCUUAUACGUGGGCCACACACGUUUUCUUGCCUGUCUGACUUCGUCUGGAUAAUCCCGGUCGAUUGCAUAGCGACUACCAGCAAGAUAUUUUGCAUUUUUCAUCACAGUGUCAACCUCAUAGCCAUAUCUAAACGUGACUACGAUCGGACGUCUUAGUGGGCCAUUGGUGUUACGCCGAUUAAUAUUACCCAAACGUUCGGUAUUAUCAAUGUAAAAGUCACUUGCAUUCAAAUUCAUGUUUGUGUACAUGAAAUCAUUGAUCACCUCAUAAUUGUCUUUGCCUGGAACUUCAUCAAGACCAUAGAUGAGAAGAUUUCUCUUACGCUCACGUGUUUCUAAAUCAAUGACUUUGUAGGUUAAUGACAAUAUUUUAUCAUCUUGGUCAUCUAGUCUUUUAUUACAAUCACUGGCGGAUUUUGUCAAAUCAUUUAUACUGUUUUGGUUUUGUUCAACAACAUCAAGUUUUGAGAAUAAAGCAAUAAGUUUAU